GACGUAGGGCGCGAGCGUUGUCCGGAUUUAUUGGGUACGGUAAAGAGCUCGUAGGACGGCUUGUCGCGUCGAAUUGUGAAACUCGGGGCUCAACUCCGAGCUUGCAUUCGAUACGGCAGGCUAGAGUUCGGUAGGGGAGGACUGGAAUUCCUGGUGUAGCGGUGAAAUGCGCAGAUAUCAGGAGGAACACCGGUGGCGAAGGCGGGUCUCUGGGCCGAAUACUGACGCUGAGGAGCGAAAGCGUGGGGAGCGGAACAGGA
This 260-nucleotide ribosomal RNA is filed under the name uncultured bacterium. Its description in RNAcentral is "partial 16S ribosomal RNA". It matches the Rfam family "Bacterial small subunit ribosomal RNA", at positions 524 to 777 of the family's 1533-position model. The record is from RNAcentral.